This 613-nucleotide ribosomal RNA is filed under the name uncultured bacterium. Its description in RNAcentral is "bacterial SSU rRNA". The stretch from base 1 to 520 matches the Rfam family "Bacterial small subunit ribosomal RNA", at positions 338 to 873 of the family's 1533-position model. The record is from RNAcentral.
CCUACGGGAGGCAGCAGUGGGGAAUAUUGCGCAAUGGGCGAAAGCCUGACGCAGCGACGCCGCGUGAGGGAUGAAGGCCUUCGGGUUGUAAACCUCUUUCAGCAGGGACGAAGCGCAAGUGACGGUACCUGCAGAAGAAGCACCGGCCAACUACGUGCCAGCAGCCGCGGUAAUACGUAGGGUGCAAGCGUUGUCCGGAAUUAUUGGGCGUAAAGAGCUCGUAGGCGGCCUGUCGCGUCGGCUGUGAAAACUCAGGGCUCAACCCUGAGCCUGCAGUCGAUACGGGCAGGCUAGAGUCCGGCAGGGGAGACUGGAAUUCCUGGUGUAGCGGUGAAAUGCGCAGAUAUCAGGAGGAACACCGGUGGCGAAGGCGGGUCUCUGGGCCGGAACUGACGCUGAGGAGCGAAAGCGUGGGGAGCGAACAGGAUUAGAUACCCUGGUAGUCCACGCCGUAAACGUUGGGCGCUAGGUGUGGGGAACCUUCCACGUUCUCCGUGCCGCNGCACGCAUAGCGCCCGCCGUCGGGAGGUACGGCCGCGACGGACGUAAACGUAACGUAAGUAGUUAGUUAGUCGUUGUUGAGCGCGACGACGGACGACGACGGAGGAGGAGG